UACGUAGGGGGCAAGCGUUAUCCGGAUUUACUGGGUGUAAAGGGAGCGUAGGCGGUCAGACAAGUCAGAAGUGAAAGCCCGGGGCUCAACUCCGGGACUGCUUUUGAAACUGCCGGACUAGAUUGCAGGAGAGGUAAGUGGAAUUCCUAGUGUAGCGGUGAAAUGCGUAGAUAUUAGGAGGAACACCAGUGGCGAAGGCGGCUUACUGGACUGUAAAUGACGCUGAGGCUCGAAAGCGUGGGGAGCAAACAGG
This 253-nucleotide ribosomal RNA is filed under the name Cuneatibacter caecimuris. RNAcentral describes it as "partial 16S ribosomal RNA". It matches the Rfam family "Bacterial small subunit ribosomal RNA", at positions 524 to 776 of the family's 1533-position model. Lineage: Bacteria; Bacillati; Bacillota; Clostridia; Lachnospirales; Lachnospiraceae. The record is from RNAcentral.